Ornithorhynchus anatinus (platypus) is the source of this 511-nucleotide non-coding RNA. The record is from the annotation of a RefSeq genome assembly. NCBI's taxonomy places the organism in Eukaryota, Metazoa, Chordata, Mammalia, Monotremata, Ornithorhynchidae.
UGAUUGUCUUUGCAGCCGGCCUGCGGGCCCCAUGCCUGGCCGGGACAGAAGUUGAAGCAGGAACGUCCAGGAAAAGGAAACGAUUCCUUGGGCUGAGGAGCUUGGACGGCAUCCCAGUGCCCAGUACUGAGUCCUCAGAGACCCCGGUUGCGGAAGGAGGAUGGAGAAGCCCCUGGGAGCCUUCUUACUGAUCUUGUGGCUCCUGCUGGACUGGGCGAGCGGCCUGGACAAGGUGGAGCAGACUCCUCUAUCCCUGAACAUCCAGGAGGGAGAGCACGGCACCAUGAACUGCAGCUACACAAACAGUGCUUUUGACCCCAUACACUGGUACCGCCAGGACCCAGGGAAAGGCCCUGCCCUUUUGACGUUAAUCCGUUCGAAUGAGAAGCUAAAAACCAUUGGAAGAUUCACAAUCACACUCGACAAAGGUGACAAACGCAGCUCCCUGGGCAUCAGGGAUGCCCAGCACAGAGACGCAGCCACCUACUUCUGUGCGGGGGAGACACAGUGA